Caretta caretta (loggerhead turtle) is the source of this 806-nucleotide long non-coding RNA. RefSeq lists it as uncharacterized. The record is from RefSeq and is a predicted model, not a curated record. NCBI's taxonomy places the organism in Eukaryota, Metazoa, Chordata, Testudines, Cheloniidae.
CACAUGCAUGUGUACUUUACAGAAUAAAAGGCAGACUUUACGCAGGUUUUAAUGCUAAAUGAGAACAAGGCUAAAAGAAGUGAAAUCAACACUUUUAGUCAAAGUUGAGCUUCAGGCGAGCUGCAGGCAGUGCACAGCAUGAGAGAAUUUGGCUCCAGAAAGUGCCCAUGGGUUGACAGCUGAAUAAGAGUUUGAAGGCUUAAUGCCAGGAAGUGUUUAUCACUCUGGAUCCAAUACCCUCCCAACUCUCCCAAUGCAGGCUCCUGGACCUUGAAGGCGGAGAAGGCACCUCUGCUGCAAAUGUUUCAACGCUCCUCCAUCAUCUCCGUCCCAGAGGCUAACGCAGAUAAGAUGGCGAAAAAAAACGCACUCACGAUGAAAUGUUCUCUGAGCUGAUGCAGUCCUCCCGCACUGAAAGAGCUCAGCAGAAUGAUGGAGGCAGAAAACUGCAGCGUCCAGGAAAGCAGAAAAUGAAUGUGAGGAGAGGUGGCGGGAGCAAGAGGAGAGGUGGUGGCAGCGUGAUGAGAGGCGGCAGGAGACAAUGCUGAGGCUACUGGAGGAUCAAACGGAUAUGCUCCGGUGUAUGGUUGAGCUGCAGGAAAGGCAACAUGAGCACAGACUGCUGCUGCAACCGCUGUGUAACCACCCGCCCUCCUCCCCAAGCUCCAUAGCCUCCUCACCCAGAUGCCCAAGAACGCGGGGGAGGGGGUCUGGGCACCCAACCACUCCACCCCAGAGGGCUGCCCAAGCAACAGAAGGCUGGCAUUCAAUAAGUUUUGAAGUGCAGUGUGGCCUUGUCCUUCCCU